GUCGAGAAUAAUUCACAAUGGACGAAAGUCUGAUGGUGCAACGCCGCGUGGAGGAUGACGGUCUUCGGAUUGUAAACUCCUGUCAUCCGGGAGUAAGACCUGGCUGUGAAUAGCAGACAGGGUUGAUAGUACCGGAAGAGGAAGGGACGGCUAACUUCGUGCCAGCAGCCGCGGUAAUACGAAGGUCCCGAGCGUUGUUCGGAAUCACUGGGCGUAAAGGGAGCGUAGGCGGCGUGGUAAGUCAGAUGUGAAAUCCCGGGGCUCAACCCCGGAACUGCAUCCGAUACUGCCGUGCUAGAGGAUUGGAGAGGUAGCCGGAAUUCUUGGUGUAGCAGUGAAAUGCGUGGAGAUCAAGAGGAACACUCGUGGCGAAAGCGAGCUACUGGACAAUAUCUGACGCUGAGGCUCGAAGGCCAGGGUAGCGAAAGGGAUUAGAUACCCCAGUAGUCC
RNAcentral lists this ribosomal RNA (450 nucleotides) under uncultured bacterium. Its description in RNAcentral is "partial 16S ribosomal RNA". It matches the Rfam family "Bacterial small subunit ribosomal RNA", at positions 354 to 796 of the family's 1533-position model. The record is from RNAcentral.